This 1406-nucleotide ribosomal RNA is filed under the name metagenome. RNAcentral's name for it is "SSU rRNA". It matches the Rfam family "Eukaryotic small subunit ribosomal RNA", at positions 259 to 1690 of the family's 1831-position model. The record is from RNAcentral.
ACAUUGCUGAUCGUACGGCCUUGUGCCGACGACGAGUCUUUCAAGUGUCUGCCUUAUCAACUGUCGAUGGUAGGUUAUGCGCCUACCAUGGUUGUAACGGGUAACGGGGAAUCAGGGUUCGAUUCCGGAGAGGGAGCCUGAGAAACGGCUACCACAUCCAAGGAAGGCAGCAGGCGCGCAAAUUACCCACUCCCGGCACGGGGAGGUAGUGACGAAAAAUAACGAUACGGAACUCAUACGAGGCUCCGUAAUCGGAAUGAGUACACUUUAAAUCCUUUAACGAGGAUCUAUUGGAGGGCAAGUCUGGUGCCAGCAGCCGCGGUAAUUCCAGCUCCAAUAGCGUAUAUUAAAGUUGUUGCGGUUAAAAAGCUCGUAGUUGGAUCUCGGUUUCACUCAGGUGGUACACCUUGCGGUGUUCACUAUCUGGGUGGACGUUUCUGUUGGUUCGCUCUUGGUGCUCUUCAUCGGGUGCCAUUUGGUGGCCAGCACGUUUACUUUGAAAAAAUUGGAGUGCUCAAAGCAGGCGUUACAGCCUGAACAUUAGUGCAUGGAAUAAUGGAAUAGGAUCUCGAUUCUAUUUCGUUGGCUUUCGGAGUCGAGGUAAUGAUUAAUAGGGACAGACGGGGGCAUUCGUACUGCGACGUUAGAGGUGAAAUUCUUGGAUCGUCGCAAGACGAACUACUGCGAAAGCAUUUGCCAAGAAUGUUUUCAUUAAUCAAGAACGAAAGUUAGAGGUUCGAAGGCGAUCAGAUACCGCCCUAGUUCUAACCAUAAACGAUGCCAACCGGCGAUCCGUCGUCGUUAAUUGAAUGACUCGACGGGCAGCCUCCGGGAAACCAGAGUGCUUGGGUUCCGGGGGAAGUAUGGUUGCAAAGCUGAAACUUAAAGGAAUUGACGGAAGGGCACCACCAGGAGUGGAGCCUGCGGCUUAAUUUGACCCAACACGGGAAAUCUCACCAGGCCCGGACACCGGAAGGAUUGACAGAUUGAGAGCUCUUUCUUGAUUCGGUGGGUGGUGGUGCAUGGCCGUUCUUAGUUGGUGGAGCGAUUUGUCUGGUUAAUUCCGAUAACGAACGAGACUCUGGCCUACUAACUAGAAGGUCUAUCCUUUAUGGGUAGGCCUCUGCUUCUUAGAGGGACGGGCGGCGUUUAGCCGCACGAGAAUGAGCAAUAACAGGUCUGUGAUGCCCUUAGAUGUUCUGGGCUGCACGCGCGCUACACUGAAGGAAUCAGCAUGUUCUCCCCUCCCUGAAAAGGGCGGGUAACCCGUUGAAACUCCUUCGUGAUGGGGAUUGGAGAUUGUAAUUAUUCUCCAUGAACGAGGAAUUCCCAGUAGGCGCGAGUCAUCAGCUUGCGUCGAUUACGUCCCUGCCCUUUGUACACACCGCCCGUCGCUACUACCGAUC